AACGAACGCUGGCGGCAUGCCUAACACAUGCAAGUCGAACGAGACCUUCGGGUCUAGUGGCGCACGGGUGCGUAACGCGUGGGAACCUGCCCUUAGGUUCGGAAUAACUCCCCGAAAGGGGUGCUAAUACCGGAUAAUGUCUUCGGACCAAAGAUUUAUCGCCUUUGGAUGGGCCCGCGUUGGAUUAGCUAGUUGGUAGGGUAAAAGCCUACCAAGGCGACGAUCCAUAGCUGGUCUGAGAGGAUGAUCAGCCACACUGGGACUGAGACACGGCCCAGACUCCUACGGGAGGCAGCAGUGGGGAAUAUUGGACAAUGGGCGAAAGCCUGGUCCAGCAAUGCCGCGUGAGUGAUGAAGGCCUUAGGGUUGUAAAGCUCUUUUACCCGGGAUGAUAAUGACAGUACCGGGAGAAUAAGCGCCGGCUAACUCCGUG
This 433-nucleotide ribosomal RNA is filed under the name uncultured bacterium. RNAcentral's name for it is "partial 16S ribosomal RNA". It matches the Rfam family "Bacterial small subunit ribosomal RNA", at positions 29 to 507 of the family's 1533-position model. The record is from RNAcentral.